CAACCCUCAAGCCUGGCUUGGUAUUGGGCGCCGUCCCCCGGGGCGCGCCUGGAAAGCAGCGGCGGUGCGGCCGGUGAUCGAGCGUAGUAACUACUCCCGCUUCGAGCCACCCGGGCGUUCCAGCCGGACAACAUCUAUCUUUCAAC
Molecule: unclassified non-coding RNA, 146 nt
Filed under: uncultured Lecanoromycetes
Lineage: Eukaryota; Fungi; Ascomycota; Lecanoromycetes
Description: sequence contains ITS2
Source: RNAcentral